GAUGAACGCUGGCGGCGUGCCUAAUACAUGCAAGUCGAGCGAACGGACGAGAAGCUUGCUUUUCUGAUGUUAGCGGCGGACGGGUGAGUAACACGUGGAUAACCUACCUAUAAGACUGGGAUAACUUCGGGAAACCGGAGCUAAUACCGGAUAAUAUUUUGAACCGCAUGGUUCAAAAGUGAAAGACGGUCUUGCUGUCACUUAUAGAUGGAUCCGCGCUGCAUUAGCUAGUUGGUAAGGUAACGGCUUACCAAGGCAACGAUGCAUAGCCGACCUGAGAGGGUGAUCGGCCACACUGGAACUGAGACACGGUCCAGACUCCUACGGGAGGCAGCAGUAGGGAAUCUUCCGCAAUGGGCGAAAGCCUGACGGAGCAACGCCGCGUGAGUGAUGAAGGUCUUCGGAUCGUAAAACUCUGUUAUUAGGGAAGAACAUAUGUGUAAGUAACUGUGCACAUCUUGACGGUACCUAAUCAGAAAGCCACGGCUAGCUACGU
This 496-nucleotide ribosomal RNA is filed under the name uncultured bacterium. RNAcentral describes it as "partial 16S ribosomal RNA". It matches the Rfam family "Bacterial small subunit ribosomal RNA", at positions 28 to 506 of the family's 1533-position model. The record is from RNAcentral.